ACAGCUCCCCACCACCACCAUACUAUUCUCCUUCUCCUAAGGUUUACUACAAGUCCCCACCUCCACCAUACGUCUACAGCUCUCCACCUCCACCAUACUACUCUCCUUCUCCUAAGGUUUACUACAAGUCCCCACCUCCACCAUACGUCUACAGCUCCCCACCUCCACCAUACUACUCUCCUUCUCCUAAGGUUUACUACAAGUCCCCACCUCCACCAUACGUCUACAGCUCCCCACCUCCACCAUACUACUCUCCUUCUCCUAAGGUUUACUACAAGUCCCCACCUCCACCAUACGUCUACAGCUCCCCACCUCCACCAUACUACUCUCCUUCUCCAAAGGUUUACUACAAGUCUCCACCACCACCAUACGUCUACAACUCUCCACCACCACCAUACUACUCUCCUUCUCCUAAGGUUUACUACAAGUCCCCACCUCCACCAUACGUCUACAGCUCCCCACCUCCACCAUACUACUCUCCUUCUCCUAAGGUUUACUACAAGUCUCCACCUCCACCAUACGUCUACAGCUCCCCACCACCACCGUACUACUCGCCUUCUCCAAAGGUUUACUACAAGUCUCCAC
RNAcentral lists this long non-coding RNA (585 nucleotides) under Arabidopsis thaliana (thale cress). RNAcentral describes it as "long non-coding RNA (ATHA_LNC000727)". Lineage: Eukaryota; Viridiplantae; Streptophyta; Magnoliopsida; Brassicales; Brassicaceae. The record is from RNAcentral.